Molecule: ribosomal RNA, 253 nt
Filed under: uncultured bacterium
Lineage: Bacteria
Description: partial 16S ribosomal RNA
Rfam family: Bacterial small subunit ribosomal RNA
Source: RNAcentral
GACAGAGGAGCCAAGCGUUGUCCGGAUUGACUGGGCGUAAAGCGCACGCAGGCGGUCGUGCAAGUGGGGUGUGAAAACUGGCGGCUUGACUGCCAGAGGCCACCUCAUACGGCGCGACUCGAGCCCUGCAGAGGUCCAUGGAAUUGCCGGUGUAGUGGUGAAAUGCGUAGAGAUCGGCAGGAACACCCAGGGGGAAACCAGUGGACUGGGCAGGAGCUGACGCUCAGGUGCGAAAGCGUGGGGAGCGAACCGG